Molecule: long non-coding RNA, 2596 nt
Organism: Tribolium madens (black flour beetle)
Lineage: Eukaryota; Metazoa; Arthropoda; Insecta; Coleoptera; Tenebrionidae
Exons: 2
Source: RefSeq, a predicted model, not a curated record
AUGAGAAUGAAAAAUAUGGUGUAUUAUUAUCGAAAGAAUAACGUAUUUUGGUUUCGUGAAGUUUAAUACAAACAUUUUUCGAUUAAACGACUUGUAACUGAUAAUAAAUGUGUUGUAAUUAAUUUAUUCUAUCACAUGAUAUAAUUAUUAGAGGGGACAGCUAGUUAACAUAUGGGUUUUACCAGUGAACGGCGUGUUGGACUGACUAAACUCUUGUUAUACAUAUUUUAAAAAAGAACAAAUCAAAAGUUUGUGAUUAUUGCAAGUAAAUUUUUUAUUUGUUACAUUUUUUUAUAUUCAUUUUCUAAUAAUUAUUCUGUCUUGUGGGAGCUUUCCAGAAAAAAAUGUAGUUUCAACAGCAGUCUAGAGAAACACCUACUCAGUCACUUUUUUUCGAAAUUUAUUGACAGGGUCAAUAAAGAAAGAAAAACUUCGUCAACAAACCGGUUGUGUCAUAUUUGUUCAGGUAAAAUUAUGUAAUAUACACAUGCAUACGAGUGAUUACCUUUAGUUUUGGGGAUAACAAUCUAAAAUAAUAUUUUAAAUAAUUUGUGUUAAAGUAAAGAGACAUCUAAUCAGUAUUAGGUAGGUAUAUUUAAAAUUAAGUUUCUACUAAUCCACAAAAUCCUUAACUGACGUGACCAGUCAGAACUGACAUUACAUAACUUAAUAAGCUAGUAAUAGUAGAAGUAAAUAGAUACAUAUUUAAUCUUUUUUUUUCCUCUUUUAUACUGUAUUUAUUACUUUAAGCCAAUAAAAAAAGCAACAAAGACAACUUAGUCAAUUGCAACCCUCAUGUGUAAGGUUAUUUCAAAAUGGCUUCCUUUCGCUAGUGAACUGAUCGAUAUCUAUUAAGGUUAAAGUUACUGGGUAAAAUCGUUACUAUACAACUUUGUAUAAUUGAUGAAAAUGAAAUAUGCAUUUCAUUAAAAAAGCAUUGCCUUGAUUCCCAUGUUUCUCUAGAGUAGAGUACAUUAUCCACUAUUUUAUAUUGACCCAGAUACUCGAAAAAGUUUUGUAUGAACACACGCAUUUUCUGUUGCAUAAUAGAUAAUGAAUUAUGGCAACGAUAUCUAUUUAAACAUUCAAAGGUAACCCAAGCAGUGAACCGAAAAAUAUUUGCCAUUUUAUUGCAAAUCAAAGGUUUGACUUGUUGAGCAAUAUUUGGUAAAAUUAUUUAUUAUUGUUACUGAAUUAGUAACUUUCACACGUAGUUCUAUACAUUCAUUUAAAAUGAUUUCUGAAUGAACUGUCAGACUCCUCUUGCCAUUGGCGCCUCGAAGACUACCUCCUGUCAAAAUGACAAAUUGCUGUCAUCACAAAAGAGGUUGUGUUAGGUCUGCCAUUUUCUGAUAACAGUCCUGCUUACAUGAAAGAAUUAUUAAUUUUAGGGUAGAAUUAAAGAAAUUUUCUAUUCAAUUAGUGUGAAAAUUCCACCUGUCUUAAUAAUAAUCUAAUUUCAAUGCAUUUUCUUUCAUAACUGAAAUUGGCUAACGCCAAAUUCUCACUUAACGUGUUUUCAAAAACAAAGAAAAAUUUAUAUAAAGAAAUUUCAUUCUUAUUUUAUUAAAAUAAAAUUUAUGUUAAUCAUAAAGAGGAAACUGAAUUUUUAUCAUGGAAUUCCAACUUGUUCUGUGAUGGGUGUACACAUCAAUAUAACCGUUCAGUUUAGGAAAUGGCCAUUUUCCAACCCAAAAAGUGAUAAUUUUUUUACUUGGUUUUAGCAGUUAUAACAACAUAUGAACACGCAUCACAGAACAAGUUGGAAUUCCACGAUAAAAAUGCAGCUUCUUUUUAUGAUUAUCAUAAAUUUUAGUUAUAAUAAAAUGAGAAUGAAAUUUCUUCAUAUAAAUUUUUCUUUGUUUUUGAAAACUCAUUAAGUGAGAAUUUGACUAAUUGAAAGAAAAUGCAUUGAAAUUAGAUUAUUAUUAAGUCACAAGUGGAAUUUUUACACUAAUUGAAUAUUAAUUUUCUGUAUAAUAAAAAAAAUCUCUGUUAUAAUAAAUAAUUCCUAAUCCUUACAACAAAUUUAGGGCCCCCAAAUUCAGUAAGUCAAAAAGACAAUAAAUUAUGAAAAGUGAAAUUAUUUCAUAGGUCCCAAGACAAGGUAUUUAUACUAUAAUUUUUAUAUUAAAUGUAAUUAAAUUUUUUUUUAAAUAUAAUUGACCAAAAAAAAUUGUAAAUGUUUUAGACCACCACUGACUGAAAUAAAACUUGUGCAAGGCGCCAUUUAUACCCCAAAGUGUAAGAAGUUAGGGGCGGAGACAAAGCAAACUAAAGGGUGAUAGCUGAUCAUCUCGAAGAGCCUUCGCAUUCAUGGGAAGCCGAAAAUAGGAAUUACUAGGGUAGGGAAUGGGAGAUACAAGUAAAUAUUGAAUUUGUCAGUAUAGGUAUAUUGGUACCAAACAAACGAUGUUGUCUCUCAAAACACAUCAACCGUUACCAAAUUAAAUGUUUCUAUUUUUAUUCUAAUCUGUUUAAGAGCAAACCUCUGUAAAAAGUAUUGUAUCUUCACGGUCUAUGCUUUUAACAUAAAUCCAAUUUUGCGUUGUUUGUAGAGAAUAAAUUUGAUUUCCUAAUAAUAUGCCUGAGCACA